This 6698-nucleotide unclassified non-coding RNA is filed under the name Hevea brasiliensis (rubber tree). The record is from RNAcentral. Lineage: Eukaryota; Viridiplantae; Streptophyta; Magnoliopsida; Malpighiales; Euphorbiaceae.
AAAAUAUUCACACUUUCGCAAAACACACCGUUUUACAAACCCUAGCUCCUCCAGCAAACCAAACCACUGAAACCAGAAACCCCCAAGGCUUCCACCAUUUACCACUCACCUCCUUCAUCAACACCAAAUCUCUAUCGAUUUCAGGGCCUCAACCACCGCUAUGAUGAGCAGCGAUACCCUCCGUCAACACCACGACGACGGCUAAAUCAGAUCCAGAAAGAGUAAAUUCAGGCGAAAGUCUCACAAUUAACAGAAAGCAUGGAAUUCACCUUUAAGGAAAGCAUGCAGAGGAAGAGGAAAAAGGCACUUGAAGCACCAAGGGAACCUCGUCGUCCUAAAACUCAUUGGGAUCAUGUUUUGGAAGAGAUGAUUUGGUUGUCGAAGGACUUUGAGUCUGAGAGGAAAUGGAAAUUGGCUCAAGCAAAGAAGGUUGCUUUGAGAGCCAGCAAAGGCAUGUUGGAUCAGGCUACCCGAGAAGAAAAGAAAUUGAAGGAAGGGGAACAACGGUUGCGAAAGGUUGCACUCAAUAUUUCUAAGGACGUGAAGAAGUUCUGGAUUAAAAUAGAGAAGCUGGUGCUUUACAAGCAUCAGAUGGAACUUGAUGAAAAAAAGAAGAGGGCACUUGAUAAACAGCUUGAGUUUCUUCUAGGACAAACAGAGAGGUACUCCACAAUGUUAGCAGAAAAUCUGGUGGAUAAACCAUUGCAGAAAUAUUCUGUACUAGAUCAACAGAAUAUUCCACAUGAGGAAAGGCAGCAAAAUGAUACAAAGGAACCAGGAAGUGCUGAGCCUCAGUCGGAUACUGGAUACGAUGAUGGUGACUAUGAUGUGCAAUCAGAUGAAUCUGAAGAUGAUGAGCAUACUAUUGAGGAAGAUGAAGCUCUUAUAACUGCAGAGGAAAGGCAAGAAGAAUGGGCAGCUCUGCGCAAUGAAAUUGAUAUUCCAAUUGAGGAGCUACUUAAACGUUAUGCUUUGGAGAAAGUUAGUGGAGAAAAUACUCCAGAAAAAGGUGAAAAUGGAGCUAACCUGACAGUUGAGGGGGGAAAACACGCAGAGAGUGAGAGAUAGUUAAUGAAUCAUGUUACCUGUUGCAUGUUGACUGUGACUGAUAUGAGCAUGGUUAUAUGUUUAUAGGCAAAGGAAAAGAUUACUUUGCUAUCAGUGACACUGAAAUGAGCAGCUUGCCUUUUAAUGCUGGUCAACGUUGUGUGAAGUUAAUGGUGCCUUGGUCAUGCCAGAGAAUCAUUUAUUAGAAAUUGAGACUGGCGAAACCAGAAAUCAAUCAAAUGUUACUGGUGAUCUGAACAAAGAUCUAUUGCAUGAUUCCUAUGAGGAACAGGAAGAUGGUGAUUUUGUUCUUGCUAAUGGAGAAGAAAAGGAUGAUGAGACAACCUUGUCAGAAGAGGAAGAACUUGCAAAAGCUGAUCCAAACAAUACCAUCGAUGAGAUUCAAUUGCUGCAAAAGGAGAGUGAAAUUCCUUUGGAAGAAUUGCUUGCAAGGUAUAAAAAGGAGUUCAGCAAUGAUGAAGUUUCAGAGGAUGAAUCUGAAUAUACGCCUGCUUUGUCAGACAACUUGUUGGAUUCUCCAGAGCAUAAAGAUGUCGAACUGAAGCAACAGGAUGUGUCCAUGAAUGAAAUUGUUGAACCUGGUGAACUUUUACUGGUUGAACAUCAUCUUGUAAAUGAACGAGAAGCAGGAAAUGAGAAAAUUGCUGAAGAAGGACAUGAGAGUGAGAAUAGGAUUGCUGAUGCUGCUGCUGCUGCAAGAUCUGCACAGCCAACAGGAAAUACAUUUUCAACAACCAAAGUUCGCACGAAGUUUCCAUUUCUUCUCAAGUACCCCCUUCGUGAGUAUCAACAUAUUGGCCUGGAUUGGCUUGUUACAAUGUAUGAGAAAAGGUUAAACGGGAUUCUAGCUGAUGAAAUGGGACUUGGAAAGACAAUAAUGACUAUUGCUUUACUUGCACACCUGGCAUGUGAAAAAGGAAUAUGGGGUCCUCAUCUAAUUGUGGUUCCAACAAGUGUCAUGCUUAACUGGGAAACAGAAUUUCUUAAAUGGUGUCCUGCCUUUAAGAUUCUUACUUACUUUGGGAGUGCAAAAGAACGGAAAUUAAAGAGACAAGGUUGGCUGAAACCAAACUCCUUCCAUGUGUGCAUUACAACUUACAGGCUGGUUAUACAGGAUUCAAAAGUCUUCAAGAGGAAGAAGUGGAAGUACCUGAUUUUGGAUGAAGCUCAUCUGAUUAAAAAUUGGAAGUCCUAGAGAUGGCAAACUCUUCUAAACUUCAAUUCAAAACGACGCAUCUUAUUAACUGGUACUCCCCUGCAGAAUGAUCUCAUGGAACUCUGGUCUCUAAUGCAUUUCUUGAUGCCUCACAUCUUUCAGUCUCACCAGGAGUUCAAGGAUUGGUUCAGCAAUCCAAUAUCAGGGAUGGUAGAGGGACAAGAAAAAGUAAACAAAGAAGUUGUUGAUCGUUUGCAUAAUGUUCUUCGUCCAUUUCUACUUCGUCGACUGAAAAGGGAUGUGGAGAAGCAGCUGCCAAUGAAACAUGAACAUGUCAUCUAUUGUAGGCUUUCAAAGAGGCAGCGUAACUUGUAUGAGGACUUCAUUGCUAGUUCAGAGACACAAGCUACUCUUGCCAGUGCUAACUUUUUUGGGAUGAUUAGCAUUAUAAUGCUACUUCGAAAAGUUUGCAAUCAUCCAGACUUAUUUGAGGGUCGUCCAAUUGUUAGUUCUUUUGAUAUGGCUGGUGUAGACAUCCAGUUGAGUUCUUCUGUAUGUUCGAUGCUUUCACCUGGCCCAUUUUCAAGUGUGGACCUUUAUGGUUUGGGGCUUUUAUUUACUCAUCUUGAUUUUAACAUGACUUCUUGGGAGUGUAAUGAAGUAAAUGCUAUUGCUACUCCUUCAAGAUUAAUCAAAGAGCGUGCCAACCUAGAUAACUUAGAAGAAAUUGGGUUUCAACAUAAACAGCGGAAGAAGUCACCGGAAACAAGUUUUUUUGAGGAGAUUAGAAAGGCAGUGCUUGAGGAGAGGCUAAAAGAAGUGAAGGAACGGGCAGCAUCUAUUGCAUGGUGGAAUUCCUUGAGGUGCCGGAAAAAACCUAUUUACUCAACAACCUUUCGAGAGCUUGUCACCAUAAAGAAUCAGGUUGAUGAUAUUCAUCGCCAAAAGGUAGAUCAGCUCUCUUGUUUGUACUCUUCUAAGCUCGCUGAUGUUAUUCUUUCACCAGUUGAACACUUCCAGAAGAUGAUUAAUCUUAUCGAGUCUUUUAUGUUUGCCAUACCUGCUGCACGUGCACCAGUACCAAUUUGUUGGUGCAGUAAAACAGGAAGUUCUGUGUUUCUGCAUCCAACUUAUAAGGAGAAAUGCUCUGAAAUGUUGUUGCCUUUUCUUCACCUAUUAGAUGUGCAAUUGUCAGGAGGCAAGUGUAUUUUCCUGAUAGGCGAUUGAUACAAUUUGACUGUGGCAAGCUGCAGGAACUUGCAGUUUAGCUCCGGAAGUUGAAAUCAGGUGGUCACCGAGCAUUGAUAUUCACCCAGAUGACCAAAAUGCUUGAUAUAUUGGAGGCUUUCAUAAAUUUGUAUGGUUACACAUGCAUGCGUUUAGAUGGAUCCACUCAACCAGAGGAGAGGCAAACAUUAAUGCAGCGAUUCAACACAAAUCCCAAGAUUUUUAUCUUCAUUUUGUCAAUGCAUAGUGGGGGCGUUGGCAUCAAUCUUUUUGGAACUGAUACAGUUAUCUUUUAUGAUAGUUACUGGAAUCCUGCAAUGGAUCAACCAGCUCAAGAUCGCUGCCGUUGAAUUGGAUAGACAUGUGAAGUACAUAUCUACAGAUUUAUCAGUGAGAGCACUAUUGAAGAAAACAUCUUAAAGAAAGCCAAUCUGAAGCAAGCUCUUGAUGAUCUAGUCAUACAGAGUGGAGGCUACAACACAGAGUUUUUCAAGAAGCUUGAUCCUAUGGAAUUAUUAUCCAGUCAUAAUGCACUUCCAAUGAAUAAUAUACAAAAAGAGAAGAAUCAUGGCCAUGCAAAUGAGGCUUCUUUGCCUAAUGCAGAUGUGGAGGCUGCUUUAAAAUAUGCAGAAGAUGAAGCAGAUUAUAUGGCAAUGAAGAAAGUUGAACAGGAAGAAGCUGUGGAUAACCAGUAGUUUACAGAAGUCAUUGGGAGAUUGGAAGAUGAUGACCUUGUCAACGAUGAUGAUAUGAAGGCUGAUGAGCCCACUGAUCAGGGGAUCACAACUCAAUUUAAAGACAGUGGGGUGAAUUUAAAUAUGAAAGAGCCCAUUGAAGAAAGAGCCAUAACUUUUGCAGGCAAUGAAGACAACGUUGACAGGCUGAUGUCAGACAGAUGGCUGCAGCAGCAGCAGCAGCAGCUGCUGGGCAAGCUAUCCCAACGUUAGAGAAUCAGCUACGUUCUAUUCACAGGUGUGCAAUAUGUUUUCUGGAACUGUCGGAUCCAAUUAAGGUCAAAGCAGCCAUGGAAUCUGAAGUUCGGUUUGAGGAGGCAGAAUGGGAACUGGAUCAUAUUGAGAUAUACAAAGAGGAAAUGGAAGCUGAGAUUGAUGAUGAUGAGGAACCAUUGUUAUAUAACAUGCCCAUCCUUGUCAAUUGGUGUUGUGUUAGGCUGGAAUGCUGAUUUUGCAACUGAGGCAUACCGACAGCAAGUUGAGGCCUUAGCGUGACAUCAGGAAUGAAAUGCCAAGCAAUGCUAAACCUAAGUCCAAAAACAAACCGAAGAAAGCCAAGUUCAAAUCUCUGAAGAAAGGGUCUCUCACUACUGAACUGGAACAUGUGAAAGAGGAACCAUCAAUGGAAACAAUGUUCGUGGAUGAUGAUGUAGUACCUCAUGAGGAAGUUGCUUAUUCAGACAUGAUGUCACAAUAUCCAGUGUGCAGAAAAAAUGUAAGAAAGUUGAAACACUUGAUGUUGAAUCUGAAAAGAGCUUGAAGAAGAAAUUUAAGAAAUUGAGGAAGACUCCUAAAGCAUGCGCAUCAGAUCUAGAUUCAAGCUUGUCUGGUAAGCAGCAAGAUGAUUCUGUGGAAUUAAAACCAUGUGAGAACAUGGUUGCUGAUCAUGAGCAGAAGUCAGCUGUCAGAAGCAAAAUGGGAGGAAGGAUCUCCAUCACUGCCAUGCCAAUCAAGCGGGUCUUGAUGAUUAAGCCAGAGAAGUUAAAGAAGGGGAAUGUUUGGUCAAGAGAUUGUGUUCCAUCUCCUGAUUCUUGGUUGCCACAGGAAGAUGCAAUAUUAUGUGCUGUUGUGCAUGAAUACGGUCCACAAUGGAGCUUGGUCUGUGAAACAUUGUAUGGGAUGACUGCUGGUGGGUUUUAUAGGGGAAGAUAUCGCCAUCCAGUUCAUUGUUGUGAGAGAUUUAGAGAACUAAUUCAAAGACAUGUCUUGUCUGCCCCUGAAAAUCAUUUUAGUGAAAAGACAAGCAGUGCAGGGUCUGGAAAGGCCCUCCUCAAAGUAACUGAGGAUAAUAUUCAGAUGCUCUUAAAUGUUGCUGCAGAGCAGCCUGAUCAUGAAUUACUUCUCCAGAGGCACUUCACUGCUCUGCUUUCUUCUGUAUGGAGGAUGACAUCACGCGUUGACCGCCAACAAAACCUUUCAUCAUCUAGAAAUGGCCUCUAUUUUGGUGGAAAGUUUUUCAGCUCUUUCAAUCAGAUAUCCUGGAAUUCUGUGAAAGAACCUGCAAAAAGAAUGAAAUUCACUACUUCAGCUCAGAGUUGCAAGUUGUUGGCAGCUGCACUCCAUGAAUUCAACAGUAGACCCCUGGAUGACACAGUCUCCAUUUCUAACCGAAUUGAAGAUGCUCCUUGCAUUUCUGAACAGUUGGAAGUAACGCUGGAAUUUGAAAAGGAGGAAGGUGAUUCAUUGAUUCCAUUUCCACCUGUCAUAAAUUUGAUGAUACCCAUCACAGACCCACUAAGAUUCAGAAACAAGGAUGUUGGAGAACAUAAUCUUAAAGCUUUCACAAAUGUGGCUGAGAGUCGAUUCAAGGAUGCAGCGAGAGCUUGUUUUGAAGGCAGUCUGGGUUGGGCAUCAUCUGCAUUCCCAGCAAAUGAUGUCAAGUUGCGGACAGCUUCAAAGCCACAGUCCUUGGGAAAGCAUAAGCUGUCUGUCUCUGACUCGAAGCCACCUAGAUCAAAAUUGAAGAAAACUUCAGAGCGUGGUGAGAUGCAUAAUUUAUUUGCAGAGCCAGCAUUGCAACCACUGUUGACAGUUUCACCCAGGGACCCCAAUUUAAGGUUUGACCUUGCUCCAGCUGUCAUUCAGGAUGGGUGGACAAAUGAUAGAGACUCUUGUUCUAUUUCUUAUUUGGAUGAGGAACUUCCAGGGGAAGUGGGGAGCUUUGAAGCCAUGCCUCACGAUUACGUCCCUGGUUUAAUCUCUGGCCUAGAUGAUUGUUCGUUGUUGCCUGAAUAUACUGAUAUUGGGUAGGAUUGACCGAGAACUAAACUGCAAAUUCUGAUUCUCGCUUGUGACAUUUAGAAAUCAGGUAUUCUCACUGCAAUCCCAAGUAUUGAGUACUCCCAAAUGAAUUGGCAUGUUUUCAUGCUCUUGGGGGCAAAUGGUGGAUGACAAAAACAUUGAAUGACGAACAAGAGGAAUUCAGCAUGUCUGCUUGUUCACGCGCUGGAAAUUAUGGUUUGGUCUGAAAUGUUCUCUAGGAAGAUCGGGGUUAGGGAAAAUAGGAAUUGUAA